UAAGAAGCAAGAGAUCAUUAAAAUAAGUUACUAGGGCUUCUAAGAGAUAGUGGGAGUAAUUUAAUGAUAGAAGAGCCAGACAUUGCCGAAAAUCCAAAUUAAUUCUUUGCUUGACUGUUCAUGGGGGAGAAGGAGGGAUGGUAGCAAACAGAAUCCAUUUUUCUAAAAGAGACAAAAAGAAAUGCAGAAAUGGAUGGGGAAAGGCAGAAUGCACUUUGGUGAUAAAGAAAGGGGAUGGAGAGGCUAAAAAAAAUUCUGCCAAGAAUUUGACAAAAUCCUUCGAACAAGGCAAUGUAUACUUUGAUUCUUGAUGACUUACUACAAAGAAGAAGAAGACAAAGAAGAAGGAGGAGAAGGAGAAAAAGAAGAAAAUCUACAUAAAAUCAUUCAUAUCCCACAAAACAGAAGCAGAAAAAUUAACAAGGAAACAAAUUCAUUCAUAGACUCCUUUCCAAGUUCAUUGAAGUUCUACAGUUUGGACUUUGUGUUUUUCUUUUUCUAUGUAGUCAGCAAUGCAUAAAUCUUGCAGUCCUGAUGAUCUUGUUUUGUUAGGUCUUUCCCUACUUUCUUUUAUUCUUUGUAUCUACUUUCUAUAAUAUUUUAUUUUAU
Long non-coding RNA from Antechinus flavipes (yellow-footed antechinus), 609 nucleotides. RefSeq lists it as uncharacterized. The record is from RefSeq and is a predicted model, not a curated record. Lineage: Eukaryota; Metazoa; Chordata; Mammalia; Dasyuromorphia; Dasyuridae. The transcript is spliced from 3 exons.